Molecule: ribosomal RNA, 393 nt
Filed under: uncultured bacterium
Lineage: Bacteria
Description: bacterial SSU rRNA
Rfam family: Bacterial small subunit ribosomal RNA
Source: RNAcentral
ACGAACACUGGCGGCGUGCUUAACACAUGCAAGUCGAGCGGUAAGGCCCUUUCGGGGUACGACGAGCGGCGAACGGGUGAGUAACACGUGGGUGACCUGCCCUCCAGCUCUGGGAUAAGCCUGGGAAACCGGGUCUAAUACUGGAUAUGACUCCAUGACGCAUGUUGUGGGGUGGAAAGCCUUGUGCGGCUGAGGAUGGGCCCGCGGCCUAUCAGCUUGUUGGUGGGGUGAUGGCCUACCAAGGCGACGACGGGUAGCCGGCCUGAGAGGGCGACCGGCCGACACUGGGACUGAGACACGGCCCAGACUCCUACGGGAGGCAGCAGUGGGGAAUCUUGCGCAAUGGGCGAAAGCCUGACGCAGCGACGCCGCGUGAGGGAUGACGGCCUGGUU